GGCGCUUGAAAAAGAGGGGGAAAGACCUUCGUUGAAGCAUAACGGAAACCACUACAUAUCCUGCUAUCAACAAAAUACUUGUCAGAGUACCUUAAAGCAGCUGAUACUAAGAGACUAGAAAGAGACACAAUA
Molecule: long non-coding RNA, 132 nt
Filed under: Pogona vitticeps (central bearded dragon)
Lineage: Eukaryota; Metazoa; Chordata; Lepidosauria; Squamata; Agamidae
Description: lncRNA (ENSPVIG00000019633.1)
Source: RNAcentral